CCUGUGACAUACCUAUACGUUGCCUCGGCGGAUCAGCCCGCGCCCCGUAAAAAGGGACGGCCCGCCCGAGGACCCCUAAACUCUGUUUUUAGUGGAACUUCUGAGUAAAACAAACAAAUAAAUCAAAACUUUCAACAACGGAUCUCUUGGUUCUGGCAUCGAUGAAGAACGCAGCAAAAUGCGAUAAGUAAUGUGAAUUGCAGAAUUCAGUGAAUCAUCGAAUCUUUGAACGCACAUUGCGCCCGCCAGUAUUCUGGCGGGCAUGCCUGUUCGAGCGUCAUUUCAACCCUCAAGCUCAGCUUGGUGUUGGGACUCGCGGUAACCCGCGUUCCCCAAAUCGAUUGGCGGUCACGUCGAGCUUCCAUAGCGUAGUAAUCAUACACCUCGUUACUGGUAAUCGUCGCGGCCACGCCGUAAAACCCCAACUUCUGAAUGUUGACCUCGGAUCAGGUAGGAAUACCCGCUUCUGAAUGUGACCUNGAUCAGG
RNAcentral lists this unclassified non-coding RNA (487 nucleotides) under Fusarium sp. MF-27. RNAcentral describes it as "partial contains ITS1, 5.8S rRNA and ITS2". The stretch from base 127 to 280 matches the Rfam family "5.8S ribosomal RNA". Lineage: Eukaryota; Fungi; Ascomycota; Sordariomycetes; Hypocreales; Nectriaceae. The record is from RNAcentral.